Molecule: transfer RNA, 104 nt
Filed under: Colletotrichum falcatum
Lineage: Eukaryota; Fungi; Ascomycota; Sordariomycetes; Glomerellales; Glomerellaceae
Description: tRNA-Leu
Rfam family: tRNA
About the family: Transfer RNA (tRNA) molecules are approximately 80 nucleotides in length. Their secondary structure includes four short double-helical elements and three loops (D, anti-codon, and T loops).
Source: RNAcentral
GGUGGAGUGACCGAGUGGUUAAGGUGCAACAUUUAGGUACGUACCUCGGUACAAGCCAAUAUCUGUUGUGGGAAACCGCGCGAGUUCGAAUCUCGUCUCCAUCA